CCUCCGGGGGGCUGCAGUGGGGAAUAUUGGACAAUGGGGGCAACCCUGAUCCAGCCAUGCCGCGUGUGUGAAGAAGGCCUUAUGGUUGUAAAGCACUUUAAGCGGGGAGGAGGCUUAUGAUACUAAUACUAUCACUAAGUGGACGUUACCCGCAGAAUAAGCACCGGCUAACUCUGUGCCAGCAGCCGCGGUAAUACAGAGGGUGCGAGCGUUAAUCGGAAUUACUGGGCGUAAAGCGCGCGUAGGCGGUUAUUUAAGUCGGAUGUGAAAUCCCC
RNAcentral lists this ribosomal RNA (275 nucleotides) under uncultured Alkanindiges sp. RNAcentral describes it as "partial 16S ribosomal RNA". It matches the Rfam family "Bacterial small subunit ribosomal RNA", at positions 338 to 604 of the family's 1533-position model. Lineage: Bacteria; Pseudomonadati; Pseudomonadota; Gammaproteobacteria; Moraxellales; Moraxellaceae. The record is from RNAcentral.